This 639-nucleotide ribosomal RNA is filed under the name Pristimantis gagliardoi. RNAcentral's name for it is "partial 16S ribosomal RNA". The stretch from base 380 to 626 matches the Rfam family "Archaeal large subunit ribosomal RNA", at positions 1787 to 2143 of the family's 2987-position model. The record is from RNAcentral. Lineage: Eukaryota; Metazoa; Chordata; Amphibia; Anura; Strabomantidae.
AAAUCACUAUCUCACUUUAGAGUAAUUCAAAUGAGGUACAGCCCGUUUGAAAUAGGAUACAACCUUAACUAACGGGUAACAUUUAUCUACACUCUCAAGUAGGCCUAAAAGCAGCCACCUCUUAAAAAGCGUCAAAGCUUAAUUGCGUUUACAUCAAUUUAAAAACCCCUAUCGACCCCUUUAAUUGUAUUGAGAAUUUCUAUAUCAUAUAGAACCUUUUAUGCUAAAAUUAGUAACAAGAGAAAACCCUCUCCUAAUGCAAACACAAGCCAGUAAAGAACCUCUCACUGGCAACUAACAGACCUAAACAAGAGUAGCAACAUCACUAGAAAACCCUACUUCUAACAACUGUUAACCUAACACCAGAGCAUUUCAAGAAAGAUUAAAAGAAAAAGAAGGAACUCGGCAAACAUUAGUCCCGCCUGUUUACCAAAAACAUCGCCUCUUGUUACUAUAAGAGGUCAAGCCUGCCCAGUGACCUUGUUCAACGGCCGCGGUAUCCUAACCGUGCGAAGGUAGCGUAAUCACUUGUUUUCUAAAUAAAGACCAGUAUGAAAGGCAUCACGAGGACUAAACUGUCUCCUCUUUCCAAUCAGUGAACUUAAUCUCCCCGUGAAGAAGCGGGGAUUAUUCUAUAAG